AGAGUUUGAUUAUGGCUCAGGAUGAACGCUGGCGGCGUGCUUAACACAUGCAAGUCGAACGGUAAGGUCCCCUUCGGGGGACACACGAGUGGCGAACGGGUGAGUAACACGUGGGCAACCUGCCCCUCACAUCGGGAUAACCACCGGAAACGGUGGCUAAUACCGGAUACUCCGGCGAGAUCGCAUGGUCUUGCCGGGAAAGCUCCGGCGGUGAGGGAUGGGCCCGCGGCCCAUUAGCUUGUUGGUGGGGUAAUGGCCUACCAAGGCGACGAUGGGUAGCCGAGCUGAGAGGCUGAUCGGCCACACUGGGACUGAGACACGGCCCAGACUCCUACGGGAGGCAGCAGUGGGGAAUCUUGCGCAAUGGGCGAAAGCCUGACGCAGCAACGCCGCGUGCGGGAUGAAGGCCUUCGGGUUGUAAACCGCUUUCAGCAGGGAUGAAACUAACAGUACCUGCAGAAGAAGCCCCGGCUAACUACGUGCCAGCAGCCGCGGUAAUACGUAGGGGGCGAGCGUUAUCCGGAUUCAUUGGGCGUAAAGCGCGCGUAGGCGGCUUGCUAAGUCAGAUGUGAAAACCGGGGGCUCAACCCGCGGCCUGCAUCUGAAACUGGCAGGCUUGAGUCUGGUAGAGGAAAGUGGAAUUCCUGGUGUAGCGGUGAUAUGCGCAGAUAUCAGGAGGAACACCAGUGGCGAAGGCGGCUUUCUGGGCCACGACUGACGCUGAGGCGCGAAAGCUAGGGGAGCAAACAGGAUUAGAUACCCUGGUAGUC
RNAcentral lists this ribosomal RNA (770 nucleotides) under uncultured Actinomycetes bacterium. Its description in RNAcentral is "bacterial SSU rRNA". It matches the Rfam family "Bacterial small subunit ribosomal RNA", at positions 8 to 795 of the family's 1533-position model. The record is from RNAcentral. Lineage: Bacteria; Bacillati; Actinomycetota; Actinomycetes.